This 1555-nucleotide small RNA is filed under the name Pan troglodytes (chimpanzee). RNAcentral's name for it is "retained intron". Lineage: Eukaryota; Metazoa; Chordata; Mammalia; Primates; Hominidae. The record is from RNAcentral.
ACUCAGCCUGGACGCGCUCCUUCGGGUCGCGGGUGCACUCCGGCCCGGCUCCCGCCUCGGCCCCGAUGGACGCCGCGUUCCUCCUCGUCCUCGGGCUGUUGGCCCAGAGCCUCUUUCUGUCUUUGGGGGUUCCUGGAUGGAGGAGGCCCACCACCCUGUACCCCUGGCGCCGGGCGCCUGCCCUGAGCCGCGUGCGGAGGGCCUGGGUCAUCCCCCCGAUCAGCGUAUCCGAGAACCACAAGCGUCUCCCCUACCCCCUGGUUCAGAUCAAGUCGGACAAGCAGCAGCUGGGCAGCGUCAUCUACAGCAUCCAGGGACCCGGCGUGGACGAGGAGCCCCGGGGCGUCUUCUCUAUCGACAAGUUCACAGGGAAGGUCUUCCUCAAUGCCAUGCUGGACCGCGAGAAGACUGAUCGCUUCAGGCUAAGAGCGUUUGCCCUGGACCUGGGAGGAUCCACCCUGGAGGACCCCACGGACCUGGAGAUUGUAGUUGUGGAUCAGAAUGACAACCGGCCAGCCUUCCUGCAGGAGGCGUUCACUGGCCGCGUGCUGGAGGGUGCAGUCCCAGGCACCUAUGUGACCAGGGCAGAGGCCACAGAUGCCGACGACCCCGAGACGGACAACGCAGCGCUGCGGUUCUCCAUCCUGCAGCAGGGCAGCCCCGAGCUCUUCAGCAUCGACGAGCUCACAGGAGAGAUCCGCACAGUGCAAGUGGGGCUGGACCGCGAGGUGAGGUGGUGCCCCGGCAGCUCCACACCCGCACGGCCAGGGCAGCCCAUCUCCUGUGGGUCCCUCUGCCCCCAGCCUGCCCACCCCAGACGCUCCUGUCCCUGCCGUCGCUGCAAAGCUUGCAGUGGCCCUGGCUCCUGAGGAGACGGCAUGGGGUGAACCCACUGAUGCGCAGACAGGAGCCGCGCUGGCCCGGGUGGGAGGGGUCUGGUGCAAGUAGAGCGUGAGGGGCCCGGCACAGGGCAGGGCUCCCCAAGCAGCCCCGCCCCUCUCAGCCUCAUGGCAACGGCUCCCCGCUGGUAAGUAACUAACUCCUUCUGUCAGGGCCCCUGUUGCCCCUUGCUGUCGGACUUCUGUGCUCCCGGAAGACCCCCCUUGAGUCAGCUCUUCUAGGAAGCCCUCCUGGUUACACUGUUACGUGGUCUUUGUCCAUUUCUGUUCCUGCCACUAACCACGGUUCCCCAGGGCAGGGACCCAAGCUCACUGGUGUGCUAGGUGCCCAGCACACAGUAGGUGCUCUGUAAAUGCUUACCCAGCGCACAGUAGGUGCUCUGUAAACACCCAGCGCACAGUAGGUGCUCUGUAAACGCUUACCCAGCGCAGAGUAGGUGCUCUGUAAACGCUUACCCAGCGCACAGUAGGUGCUCUGUAAAUGCUUACCCAGCGCACAGUAGGUGCUCUGUAAACACCCAGCACACAGUGGUGCUCUGUAAACACUUACCCAGCACACAGUAGGUGCUCUGUAAACGCUUACCCAGCGCACAGAAGGUGCUCUGUAAAUGCUUACCCAGUGCAGAGUAGGUGCUCUGUAAACGCUUACCUAGCAC